This 542-nucleotide ribosomal RNA is filed under the name uncultured bacterium. RNAcentral describes it as "partial 16S ribosomal RNA". It matches the Rfam family "Bacterial small subunit ribosomal RNA", at positions 355 to 902 of the family's 1533-position model. The record is from RNAcentral.
UGGGGAAUAUUGCACAAUGGGCGAAAGCCUGAUGCAGCAACGCCGCGUGAGGGACGACGGCCUUCGGGUUGUAAACCUCUUUUAGCAAGGAAGAAGCGAAAGUGACGGUACUUGCAGAAAAAGCGCCGGCUAACUACGUGCCAGCAGCCGCGGUAAUACGUAGGGCGCAAGCGUUAUCCGGAAUUAUUGGGGCGUAAAGAGCUCGUAGGCGGUUUGUCGCGUCUGCUGUGAAAACCCGAGGCUCAACCUCGGGCCUGCAGUGGGUACGGGCAGACUAGAGUGCGGUAGGGGAGAUUGGAACUCCUGGUGUAGCGGUGGAAUGCGCAGAUAUCAGGAAGAACACCGAUGGCGAAGGCAGAUCUCUGGGCCGUAACUGACGCUGAGGAGCGAAAAGGGUGGGGAGCAAACAGGCUUAGAUACCCUGGUAGUCCACCCCGUAAACGUUUGGGAAACUAGUUGUGGGGUCCAUUCCACGGAUUCCGUGACGCAGCUAACGCAUUAAGUUCCCCGCCUGGGGAGUACGGCCGCAAGGCUAAAAACUC